This 235-nucleotide long non-coding RNA is filed under the name Gossypium raimondii (Peruvian cotton). Its description in RNAcentral is "long non-coding RNA (GRAI_LNC002902)". The record is from RNAcentral. Lineage: Eukaryota; Viridiplantae; Streptophyta; Magnoliopsida; Malvales; Malvaceae.
GAAAAUUUCAAUACAAUAAAAAUUAAAAGUCAGCAAAAUAAAUAAUUAUGUACAUGAAACAAAUUUAAAAUAAAAAAAAAUCAUCCCCAUCAUCGGCCUAAAUGUGUACCACAACCUGGUGGGUUUCAGUUACGAGGAUUUCAUUGUGGUUGCGGUUCCGGCUUAUCGUUUUCAUCUUCAUCUUCAUCUUCACCUCCGUCUCCAUCUCCACCUCCACCUCCACCUCCACCUCCAC